GUAGGUACUAGAAUCCACACAGACUACAUAUAGGCCCGAAGAUGGCUCGAUCAACCCAUAUGCACCUAUGGAUAGAUUCUCAAUCAAUUAUUUUUUUAAAUUAACUUCUAGUAUUUAAUUUAGUCUCAGAUUUUAUUUUAGUAGGCGAUGGGCCUCCACUGAAACUUUCAGUUAGGUCAAACCAUUAACAUGAACCUACUCAGUGAUUCUACCUAAUAAGUGAUCAGGUCUGAGGAUGGCUUGAUCAACCCAACCAUCAUCAGAUAGUUCAACAGUUAUCAUAUGAUGAAUGAUAAUUCCAUCAUUUAGAAAGAACACC
RNAcentral lists this long non-coding RNA (319 nucleotides) under Elaeis guineensis (African oil palm). Its description in RNAcentral is "long non-coding RNA (EGUI_LNC021476)". The record is from RNAcentral. Lineage: Eukaryota; Viridiplantae; Streptophyta; Magnoliopsida; Arecales; Arecaceae.